This 255-nucleotide ribosomal RNA is filed under the name uncultured bacterium. RNAcentral describes it as "partial 16S ribosomal RNA". It matches the Rfam family "Bacterial small subunit ribosomal RNA", at positions 524 to 776 of the family's 1533-position model. The record is from RNAcentral.
UACGUAGGGUGCAAGCGUUGUCCGGAAUUAUUGGGCGUAAAGAGCUCGUAGGCGGUCUGUCGCGUCGGAUGUGAAAAAUCCAGGGCUCAACCCUGGACCUGCAUUCGAUACGGGCAGACUAGAGUUCGGCAGGGGAGACUGGAAUUCCUGGUGUAGCGGUGAAAUGCGCAGAUAUCAGGAGGAACACCGGUGGCGAAGGCGGGUCUCUGGGCCGAUACUGACGCUGAGGAGCGAAAGCGUGGGGGAGCAAACAGG